GGCUACCAUCAUUCUUCGGGUUCAUAAUGCCUCCACAACAUUCAAUAAUGGCAGAGUCUAACAUUGAUGAUCGGUGUCCUAUAACAACGGCCACACAACAAUGCUCCAACGACAUCCCUAUUGGUAUAAAAGAUGUUCUCCUCCAAACAACAUAAGUGAAACAAUUCUAUCAUAAAAUCUCUUACUCUUUAUUUACAUAGUGAUUUGAGCAUUAUAAUACUUACAAAUAGAUAUCCACCGGUGAUGAGUUUGAGUAGUUUACUAG
Molecule: long non-coding RNA, 265 nt
Filed under: Trifolium pratense (red clover)
Lineage: Eukaryota; Viridiplantae; Streptophyta; Magnoliopsida; Fabales; Fabaceae
Description: long non-coding RNA (TPRA_LNC013937)
Source: RNAcentral